This 1375-nucleotide unclassified non-coding RNA is filed under the name Hevea brasiliensis (rubber tree). The record is from RNAcentral. Lineage: Eukaryota; Viridiplantae; Streptophyta; Magnoliopsida; Malpighiales; Euphorbiaceae.
GAUGCCCAAACAGCCUUGAAACCAUUAAUAGAUCUGGCAUUGUCUCUGUCAAAAUUGAAGGACUUCACAGGCAGGGAGAAGCCUACAGUUAUCACAUAAUGCAUAUCCUUGAAUUGUUAGUAUCAUGAAUCAAGUGGCAUCUUGGAAUUUCAUCUCUUUUCUUUUUGGCUUAAUUUGCUACAUGUAUUAGCUGUUCAAUUUUGGUUCUGUAGCCAUCUGUUAUUGUGAUAUAAUUAGUCCAGGUAAAGUAAAUAAAACAGCCAAGUGGAAAUAAAAUCUGUCAUUUGGUUCCUGCCUUUUAAUCUCGACUUCUUGAUUCGGUACCGUCGCGGAUGGAUAGCAGCGUAAAUAAUCCAAAUAUAUUACUAUUAAUUAUGAUCAAGUUUUGUUGUAGAUAAUUCAUUAUUCAGGUUCCAGUGCUGGAAUUUGGGCUUCUGGUUAAGAACUCCAGUGAGUAAAUUUCCAAUUGGGAAAAAAAAUAAAAAGGGAACUAGUGGAAAACAGCAUUAAAAUUCGAAACAUGUGUCAUUUAACUUUUAAUUUAUUUCAUCUGAUUGGUUUGAAAUGACUCAGAGAGUGGUGUUAGGAGCAGCAUGACAUUACAUGAUUAAAGGCCACUUGGAACGGGAUAGCAUCCAUUGCCUUGGAUGAUAGUACCAAGUUGCAGCUUCGUUUGAUGAAAUAGCAUGCCCAUUUAGUGUCUUGUGCGUGCAGAAGUAACAAGAAGGAUAUAUUGGUGUUGGGUACCACCUAGUGAGCAAUGGCCAACCCUUCGAAGGGCAUAAUAUGGUGGUAUUCCUAUGGGAAGCAAAGUAGCUAGAAUCAGGGUUGAUCCUAUUGGUUUUUGGCCUCGGCAGAUAAGAUCUCCAUCAUACAACAAAACAUCCAAUGAGCUAUCCCGACCAACUGUUGUGGGAGCUGAGUGUACAACUAAGAUAAACCAUGACCACCUUAUAAGCUGUAGUGGGAGAAAUAUUGUGCUUAUAAUUCAUCCCAAUCUUGUUUCAAAUGCAAGCCAACCCCAAUUGACAUAAUGGAACAGCAAGCACUCAAGACACUAUAUUUGACCUCUGAAGCUUUGCAUGUACUAGUACAAGCUCGCCUCUCAGAAAACUUUUAUGCCUUUUUUAUCAGGGUGUGACAUUCUCUAACUACAUUUUCUCUUAUUCACUGAAGAAAAGCACCUUGAAAAAACAAGGGGACCCUAGAAGUGUGCUUUUUCAAUUUGAAUUGAAGGUUUCCUUUCUCUUUGUAUAUAGCACAUUAGAGUGUUAAACCUCUAAUGUAUCACCACUACCUGGUGAAUAAUAAUAGAACGAAAGCUUUUGGCCACAAUUCACAAGUGAUGUUUAAACAUUGGAUAUAUAACAUAGUG